CCCUACGGGGCGCAGCAGUCGAGAAUCAUUCACAAUGGGGGAAACCCUGAUGGUGCGACGCCGCGUGGGGGAAUGAAGGUCUUCGGAUUGUAAACCCCUGUCAUGUGGGAGCAAAUUAAAAAGAUAGUACCACAAGAGGAAGAGACGGCUAACUCUGUGCCAGCAGCCGCGGUAAUACGGAGGAUGCGAGCGUUAUCCGGAUUUAUUGGGUUUAAAGGGUGCGCAGGCGGCACGGCAAGCCGGCGGUCAAAUCGCGGGGCUCAACCCCGCCCAGCCGUCGGAACUGCCGGGCUAGAGUGGGCGAG
This 305-nucleotide ribosomal RNA is filed under the name uncultured bacterium. RNAcentral's name for it is "bacterial SSU rRNA". It matches the Rfam family "Bacterial small subunit ribosomal RNA", at positions 337 to 654 of the family's 1533-position model. The record is from RNAcentral.